This 302-nucleotide ribosomal RNA is filed under the name uncultured bacterium. RNAcentral describes it as "partial 16S ribosomal RNA". It matches the Rfam family "Bacterial small subunit ribosomal RNA", at positions 508 to 807 of the family's 1533-position model. The record is from RNAcentral.
GCAGUAGCCGCGGGAAUACGUAGGGCGCAAGCGUUAUCCGGAAUUAUUGGGCGUAAAGAGCUCGUAGGCGGUUUGUCGCGUCUGCCGUGAAAGUCCGGGGCUCAACCCCGGAUCUGCGGUGGGUACGGGCAGACUAGAGUGAUGUAGGGGAGACUGGAAUUCCUGGUGUAGCGGUGAAAUGCGCAGAUAUCAGGAGGAACACCGAUGGCGAAGGCAGGUCUCUGGGCAUUAACUGACGCUGAGGAGCGAAAGCAUGGGGAGCGAACGGGAUUAGAUACCCGUGUAGUCCCUGUCUCUUAUAC